AGUCGGGGGAGCAGCGGUCCCCUGUAUCGGAAGUCCGCUAUACGCCGAGAUGAUGCCCUGGCCGAGGAUUUGAAGCAAAGGCGAGCCCUUUUUGUGCGGUGUUGAGAUCUGGGUCCUGCGCGGCGGGAACCCGCGAACCGUGUCAGGUUGGGAACAAAGCAGCACUAAACGGGAGCUUCCGGGUGCCGCAGGGUCGCCUGGGUUGAGCUGUUGCAUUAAGUAAGCUCUUCUUUGCCGAGGUUCG
Molecule: signal recognition particle RNA, 244 nt
Filed under: bovine gut metagenome
Description: Bacterial large signal recognition particle RNA
Rfam family: Bacterial large signal recognition particle RNA
About the family: The signal recognition particle (SRP) is a universally conserved ribonucleoprotein involved in the co-translational targeting of proteins to membranes. Archaeal SRP consists of a 7S RNA and homologues of the eukaryotic SRP19 and SRP54 proteins.
Source: RNAcentral